GUCCAACGAAAAAAUGCCUUCUCUUUUCCAUAUUUCUUCUCCACUUCUACAAUCUACAUUUCUUCACCUACCAUUUCUUUCUUCUUCUUUGGUAAAAGGAUCCCAUGUUUGAUUAUGGAGAUGAAUUUACAAUAGAAACCUAUAGAAUCCCAUGGCUUAUUUGGAUCCAAAUCCUAAUCUUCUUCCUCCUCAUCUUUCUUCUCUGUUGUUUCAGUGUUUUUACUUCAGAUCUUUCGCACUACAACACCAAAACCCCUUCCUCUUCUACCUCUCCUUCUUCCUUAGCUUCAGCAUCCGCUUCUACUUAUUUAAACAACCCUCUUCUCAACCACAGUACUACUACAACUCUCGCAAAUCGCUUGCAGCAUAACCAGAUAGGAGAGAGCCGAAGUAUAAAAGGAGAGAUAGCAACAAGCACAAGUACAAGAAUGGUGACAGAAGAGGACACAGAAAGCCAAGGCAUUUCAGCAAACUCCAUUAUUAAUCUCCAUCCCUGCAACUAUUUUAGGCUUGCCAAGCUUGCAGUUCUCAAGUGCUUGGGGUUAGACACAUCCUCUGAUAAUUCUCCGAGCUGUGACAGGAAAAAGGAAAGAUAGUCUACCUUGCAGAGAAUUUGCAGCCCACGUAGCUAGGCAGAAGCAAAGAUUCAGCUAUCAGCCAUUAUAAUCUACAGCCAAAGUGAUCAAACUCAAUGGAAUGGAAAGCAGGUCAGAGAUUGUGGCUCAAUCCAAGGUGAAUUACUAAAGCUAACCAUUCAUGCUCCUUGGAGUCCUCAUUUUUAAGUUAAAAAUCCAAUUUCAUUCACUGAAGCAGAUCAAAAUUGAUUGGAGCAAAGCUGAUUCCAAGAAUUUCAUGUGUAUAUUUUACACAGAUCAUAAGCUUUCGCAAGAAAUUCAAUCAACUGAUCUGCAUCAGGGUUGUCUUGGAGUUCUAGGCUCUUGUAAAAUCUCCUUUUGGUUUCUAUCUUGUAAAAUUUCUUUUUCAAAUUUCCAAAAACAACUUAAUAUUCCAUUUCCAUACAUAGUUUUUUGAAAUGACUGAAAAAGGA
RNAcentral lists this unclassified non-coding RNA (1048 nucleotides) under Hevea brasiliensis (rubber tree). Lineage: Eukaryota; Viridiplantae; Streptophyta; Magnoliopsida; Malpighiales; Euphorbiaceae. The record is from RNAcentral.